Molecule: long non-coding RNA, 714 nt
Filed under: Citrus x clementina
Lineage: Eukaryota; Viridiplantae; Streptophyta; Magnoliopsida; Sapindales; Rutaceae
Description: Citrus clementina (C. clementina) long non-coding RNA (CCLE_LNC001289)
Source: RNAcentral
ACUAAUUAAUAAAAUUAAUUUUUAACUUUUCAAAAUUACUUUUAAACUUUUUAAACCAAAAGCAAUUCAGAGACGAGCCAUGUUCCAUGAUGGAUUGGAUUUUAAUUUCAAUUGUGCAACAUACAAUCGGUUUUCUUGUGUCCUACAUCAACUUUGCAAAUUGCAAAUUAACAAAAAAUAACAAGUUAUCAGAUAAACUGGGUUUUUUUUUUUUUUUUGGUGUCAAGGGAGGUGGGGGUGGCCCAAACAAAAAGGUUCUGAUCCCUUGCCCAUUCAGCGGAACAAUCCAUGUCCAUCACCAUCACCCUCGGCUUCAAAUUUGUAACAGCGGAACCUCACAUCACCGAACACCACCACCAACCAACAAACGGUAAAAAUCACCCUGGUCCUUUUCCCUAGCCCAGCGCCCCUAACAGCUCUAAGAUGCCAACAACACGAUGUAAAAGACAAAAGUUCCCUGGACCCCACGUGGCCCUUUUCCCCAGCAAAAAAUCAUCGGUCCAAUUCUAAAUUAAAAUAAAGCUGACAAUGGUUUAUCAUUUUCAUCCCUAAAAUCUUACAUUUUUCACUCUAAAGUUAUAGCUUGUCCAUUUAUAUUAAAGAGGUCGGCCGACUUGUUAUAAUUUCUAAAAUUACCAAUGACCAAUUAUCUUGGCCUAUGUUUAGAAUAAGUGUAUGUUUAAGAUCAUGUUAGAUUAUCGAAUAAUAAUUUAU